AGAGUUUGAUCAUGGCUCAGAACGAACGCUGGCGGCAUGCCUAACACAUGCAAGUCGAACGCCAUGGUUUCGGCCAUGGAGUGGCGCACGGGUGAGUAACGCGUGGGAACCUGCCCAGCAGUAUGGGACAACCGCGGGAAACUGCGGCUAAUACCGUAUACGCCCCUGCAAGGGGGGAAAGAUUGAUCGCUGUUGGAGGGGCCCGCGUCGGAUUAGGUAGUUGGUGGGGUAAUGGCCUACCAAGCCUGCGAUCCGUAGCUGGUCUGAGAGGAUGAUCAGCCACACUGGGACUGAGACACGGCCCAGACUCCUACGGGAGGCAGCAGUGGGGAAUAUUGGACAAUGGGCGCAAGCCUGAUCCAGCAAUGCCGCGUGAGUGAUGAAGGCCUUAGGGUUGUAAAGCUCUUUCACACGCGACGAUGAUGACGGUAGCGUGAGAAGAAGCCCCGGCUAACUCCGUGCCAGCAGCCGCGGUAAUACGGAGGGGGCAAGCGUUGUUCGGAAUUACUGGGCGUAAAGGGCGCGCAGGCGGCUGCUCAAGUCAGGCGUGAAAGGCCUGGGCUCAACCCGGGAAUUGCGCUUGAGACUGGGCUGGCUUGAGUGCGGGAGAGGAUGGUGGAAUUCCCAGUGUAGAGGUGAAAUUCGUAGAUAUUGGGAAGAACACCGGUGGCGAAGGCGGCCAUCUGGACCGCAACUGACGCUGAGGCGCGAAAGCGUGGGGAGCAAACAGGAUUAGAUACCCUAGUAGUCC
Molecule: ribosomal RNA, 751 nt
Filed under: uncultured bacterium
Lineage: Bacteria
Description: bacterial SSU rRNA
Rfam family: Bacterial small subunit ribosomal RNA
Source: RNAcentral